GCCAGUGUGGUAUAGUGAUUUGAGUGUUGGACUGUGACUCGGGAGACCAGGGUUCAAAUCACUGCUUGGCCA
Molecule: non-coding RNA, 72 nt
Organism: Phrynosoma platyrhinos (Desert horned lizard)
Lineage: Eukaryota; Metazoa; Chordata; Lepidosauria; Squamata; Phrynosomatidae
Source: the annotation of a GenBank genome assembly